Molecule: long non-coding RNA, 785 nt
Filed under: Astyanax mexicanus (Mexican tetra)
Lineage: Eukaryota; Metazoa; Chordata; Actinopteri; Characiformes; Acestrorhamphidae
Description: lncRNA (ENSAMXG00005010176.1)
Source: RNAcentral
UGUAGUCUAUACAUUUUGCGGCUUUAAUUCUGUGAGAAAGUUCACCAGAAUUAAUGAAUUCCUGUUAAGCUAUAUUUUAUUUCUGUAUUGUAACGCAGGCCAAUAAAUUGGAGAUGAAGAAAUUACAGGAGGAGCAACAGAGAAGGGAGCUGCACCAACAUGAUCUACAAAUGAUAAGAGAACAGCAACAACAAAGGCUUCAGAGGUCCAGCUCAGUUCCUAUGGCAGCGAGCAACUCCACACCAGCGUCAUCUUGGAGUGAAAUUUUGGAGGAAAAACAAAAACACGAGGAGGAGGACAGGAAGAGGCGAAUGGAAAGCGAACGUCUGCGGGUGAACUCGGCCUUCCUAGACAGACUGGAGGCGAGCGGAUCAGGUAGAGCGUCUGGGUCCCACCCCUGCACCCCGGAGGGUGGUAACAUCUGGAAGACGGAGGAACCACAAGACCCUGCCUCAUCCCCGAUGCCCUUCACAACACAGCUCCACAGUAUCAAGAAGGAGGAAGAGGAGGAGGAGGACGAGAAGAGGGAUGUGAAAGUGGAGGAGGAGGACGAGGGUGAGCCAGAUUUAUGUGCUAGCCAUUAUGCAUGUUUAGUCUUAGGCCCUUCUGUAAUUGUUUCCAUUGCAGUGUCUUCUCUCAUCAAAAAGUAAUUUGUCUCCGGGUAUGAUUGAUACUGUGCAGAGCUCUGUCGUCCUAUCCCCAGUAGUCUUUUUUGUCAGGCCCCGUAAGGCGGUGUAGCGCAUUAUGUAAAUAAAACUAAGCCUCUAAAUCCUCCUUGUGCGACA